This 410-nucleotide ribosomal RNA is filed under the name uncultured microorganism. RNAcentral's name for it is "bacterial SSU rRNA". It matches the Rfam family "Bacterial small subunit ribosomal RNA", at positions 509 to 917 of the family's 1533-position model. The record is from RNAcentral.
CAGCAGCCGCGGUAAUACGUAGGGUGCGAGCGUUCAUCGGAUUUACUGGGCGUAAAGCGUGCGCAGGCGGCCCGUUAAGACAGGUGUGAAAUCCCUGGGCUCAACCUAGGAAUUGCGCUUGUGACUGGCGGGCUCGAGUACGGUAGAGGGGGGUGGAAUUCCUGGUGUAGCAGUGAAAUGCGUAGAGAUCAGGAGGAACACCGAUGGCGAAGGCAGCCCCCUGGGCCUGUACUGACGCUCAUGCACGAAAGCGUGGGGAGCAAACAGGAUUAGAUCCCCUGGUAGUCCACGCCCUAAACGAUGGGUACUAGCCGUUUGGUGCGCGAUAGCGCUGAGUGGCGAAGCUAACGCAUUAAGUGCCCCGCCUGGGGAGUACGGCCGCAAGGUUGAACCUUAAAGGAAUUGGCGGG